UUUCCGUAGGUGAACCUGCGGAAGGAUCAUUAGAGAAGAACAAGUGUUCAUUUUAAUCUUUUUUUUUUUUUUAAUUGGUGGUUGGGCUUGCCCAACCAGUGCGUAAAAAAAGAAGGUCGGGCUGGACUGUAAACAGCAUAUUACAAUAAUAAUUAGUCAAUGACAAUUUACAUGUGCACCUUGCCGCAAUGGAUCUCUCGGCUCUU
Molecule: unclassified non-coding RNA, 206 nt
Filed under: plant metagenome
Description: partial contains small subunit ribosomal RNA, internal transcribed spacer 1, and 5.8S ribosomal RNA
Source: RNAcentral